This 704-nucleotide ribosomal RNA is filed under the name uncultured Actinomycetales bacterium. RNAcentral describes it as "bacterial SSU rRNA". It matches the Rfam family "Bacterial small subunit ribosomal RNA", at positions 59 to 777 of the family's 1533-position model. Lineage: Bacteria; Bacillati; Actinomycetota; Actinomycetes; Actinomycetales. The record is from RNAcentral.
AAGUCGAACGGAAAGGCCCUGCUUGCAGGUACUCGAGUGGCGAACGGGUGAGUAACACGUGGGUGAUCUGCCCUGCACUUCGGGAUAAGCUUGGGAAACUGGGUCUAAUACCGGAUAGGACCGCACUUUAGUGUGUGUGGUGGAAAGUUUUUUCGGUGUAGGAUGAGCUCGCGGCCUAUCAGCUUGUUGGUGGGGUAAUGGCCUACCAAGGCGGCGACGGGUAGCCGGCCUGAGAGGGUGUACGGCCACAUUGGGACUGAGAUACGGCCCAGACUCCUACGGGAGGCAGCAGUGGGGAAUAUUGCACAAUGGGCGCAAGCCUGAUGCAGCGACGCCGCGUGGGGGAUGAAGGCCUUCGGGUUGUAAACUCCUUUCGCUAGGGACGAAGCUUUUUGUGACGGUACCUAGAUAAGAAGCACCGGCUAACUACGUGCCAGCAGCCGCGGUAAUACGUAGGGUGCGAGCGUUGUCCGGAAUUACUGGGCGUAAAGGGCUCGUAGGUGGUUUGUCGCGUCGUCUGUGAAAUUCUGGGGCUUAACUCCGGGCGUGCAGGCGAUACGGGCAUAACUUGAGUGCUGUAGGGGUAACUGGAAUUCCUGGUGUAGCGGUGAAAUGCGCAGAUAUCAGGAGGAACACCGAUGGCGAAGGCAGGUUACUGGGCAGUUACUGACGCUGAGGAGCGAAAGCAUGGGUAGCGAACAGGA